CAGGGAAUCUUGCGCAAUGGGCGAAAGCCUGACGCAGCGACGCCGCGUGGGGGAAGAAGGCCUUAGGGUUGUAAACCCCUUUUCCGGGGGAAGAGCAAGGACGGUACCCUGGGAAUAAGCCUCGGCUAACUACGUGCCAGCAGCCGCGGUAAUACGUAGGAGGCAAGCGUUGUCCGGAUUUAUUGGGCGUAAAGGGCGUGUAGGCGGCUUGGGCAGUCCUUUGUGAAAUCUCCCGGCUCAACCGGGAGCGGUCGAGGGAUACUUCCAGGCUAGAGGGCAGUAGAGGAGAGCGGAAUUCCCGGUGUAGUGGUGAAAUGCGUAGAUAUCGGGAGGAACACCCGUGGCGAAAGCGGCUCUCUGGACUGUACCUGACGCUGAGGCGCGAAAGCGUGGGUAGCAAACCGG
RNAcentral lists this ribosomal RNA (405 nucleotides) under uncultured bacterium. RNAcentral describes it as "bacterial SSU rRNA". It matches the Rfam family "Bacterial small subunit ribosomal RNA", at positions 355 to 776 of the family's 1533-position model. The record is from RNAcentral.